This 85-nucleotide transfer RNA is filed under the name Gordonia sp. PP30. RNAcentral's name for it is "tRNA-Ser". It matches the Rfam family "tRNA". From Rfam's summary of the family: Transfer RNA (tRNA) molecules are approximately 80 nucleotides in length. Their secondary structure includes four short double-helical elements and three loops (D, anti-codon, and T loops). The record is from RNAcentral. Lineage: Bacteria; Bacillati; Actinomycetota; Actinomycetes; Mycobacteriales; Gordoniaceae.
GGAGACGUGGCAGAGCGGCCGAAUGCACUCGCCUUGAAAGCGAGAGAGGGUAACACCUCCGCGGGUUCGAAUCCCGCCGUUUCCG